UUUGCUCGAAAUCUCAGAGACACACUUAUAAUAUAUUAGGCUCCUAUUACCACACUCCCUUAAACUUAUUGUAUAAGUAAUUUUCUAUCCCUUUUCGACAUACGUGACACUAACUUGAAAAAAAAAGUCAAUCAUGGGUCCACAAGAGUGUCACGUAGGUCGAAAAGGGGUAAAAAAUUAUUAAUAAAAUAAGUUCAGGAAUAAUAGAACCUUAUUAUAGUAUAACUGUGUCUCUGAGAUUUCGGACAUAGG
Molecule: microRNA precursor, 252 nt
Filed under: Solanum lycopersicum (tomato)
Lineage: Eukaryota; Viridiplantae; Streptophyta; Magnoliopsida; Solanales; Solanaceae
Description: miR7981c stem-loop (sly-MIR7981c)
Source: miRBase by way of RNAcentral